Molecule: long non-coding RNA, 5023 nt
Organism: Colius striatus (speckled mousebird)
Lineage: Eukaryota; Metazoa; Chordata; Aves; Coliiformes; Coliidae
Exons: 5
Source: RefSeq, a predicted model, not a curated record
UCACACAUCACUGCAGAGCUGAGAGAGAGGCAGCAGAACCCCUCAGACACAUAAAUACAUGCCAUGCUGAAACACAUGGGAAACAAGAUAGAAGGAGAUUGGGUCUUAGCUAGGGAACUGGUGUCCUAGAAGCUUCGGAGCCCUAGAAGUUGUGUUUAAUUAUUAGCUAAUUGGCUGGGAUGGAUCUCAUUUGUAACAGAGGAGGAGAGAAAGGAUGGAAGGCUGUGGUUGGUGGAAGAGAAGCUGAUAAUCUCCUAUUAAAGGUGGCAGAAGAAGGUGUUAGCUUGCUCUGUAGGAGGUAAUGUGUAGACUUUCUGAGAUGUUGUGUGGUGAUAGCUAGAGCUUAUCUAGGUCUGUGUCUUAAGAACUGGAGUGUGUUGCCUGUAACUUGUCACAAAUCAGACUGCCUUGCCUACAGAAGAGACUUUGGAAGUUGCCUGCUGUUGUGUGUCAUGCUCCUUGGAAGACAGGAGUAAGUCAUGAAGAAAACCAUACCCCUGUGCAAAGCUGACGUGUCACUCUGCCCUGCCUUCACCUAGAUUCUGAGGUCAAGCCUCCAAGCUGAGGCCAGGAGAGGGAGAAGUAUGAAGGACUUCACACUUGACUGUGGAGCAGAAGACAAGAGCUGAGGAUGAAAUCCAACUUGGGAUGGAUAAAAUGCUGGAGAGGAGAGCUGGUCCUUCACAAGACCCUCCAGACCACCUCCAGGCAGCAGCUGACAUUGCUUAUAGCCCUAGCUGAGAUAAAUGGCAUUCCAGCACUUGCCAGCAGCCCACUGCUGCUUCUCCUUUUACAACUGUUGCCUCAUCACUUGAAGCAGUUUAGCCUCUUGCAUUGGCUUUUUGAUACUGGAAAGCAGAAGAGCUGAGUCAUCCCCUGAGGAGACAUUUCCCACAGCAGAUGUUAUGCCAUGCGAUCCUGCUAUCUCUUGCAGUCGUUGCUGGAGGAGCUACCGUGUCACUCCAAGGCCUGAGUGAAGAUAAUACCCUCCCAUUCCUCCAGUCACCUCACUACAGCACAGAUAAACUCCCCACUCAGCCUUUGCUGCAGCACAAGCCACAAUAAAUCCUCUCUCUUUGGAAGCAUCCCUGCCUGUACUGAGACCUUGCCUUUGAAAGAUCCAUCACUAGCACUAAUGCAAAAAAAGAAACAGAAGUUGAUGUCCCCAGAUGGCUGGAGUCUGUUAUUUCUUCAAAUAUAAAGAAGUCUGGGGCUAAUCUGACAUCCUCCCAGCUCAACUCAUCAGUGUAAUGCAUGUGGAUGGACCCAUGCAGAACCAGUGCUAGAACCAGCAGAGAAGCUACUUUUCCUGUCUACAGACCAGCUGAAAUUUAUGUGUACCAGCUCAACACACAGCAGAGGCAAAAAAGUCAUCAAUGAACCAACCAACCAAAGCAAAGUCCUGCCAAAAGCAUCAAAGGCUGAAGCCUGGGAGGCAGCGGUGGGGGAUGCUCUCGGCGCAGAUGUGCAGCACUCACAGCUCAGAGCUCCUCAGAGCUGACACUAUCGCUAUAAAGGCUGAGUCCCAGCAGUUUCCUUUGGACAGCCUGCUGCUGGGGAGUAUGUAUCUUAAUAAAUGUUUCUCUGUUGUUACCUAAUCUGUUUACUUACUGGCAUGAUGUGUAUAUUGGGUAUUACGAAAUGGUAUCUGGGAAAAGUAGUACACAUAUAUUUAACAGAAGCCUUUUUGAGCCCAGAAAAGUUAAACCUCUCUGUUCAGGUUUCCCUCUGGGUGCUCCAAAACAGCAGCCAGAGUUACAGCAAGUUAUGUAUAUGUGCUGUCCUAUAUGAAAGGAGCUACAUUCAUAUCCUUCAUUCUCAGCCUCCACCUCCUCCUAUUCAAUUUACAGUCUAGACUGUUUAAAAAUACCUUUUUACUGCUUUCUUUUUUCUAUGGGGAAAAGGCACUUGUGAGACAAUGCACUUAACUGGAGAUUACAAAGGUUUGUUGCAUGUUGGUGCAUGAUAAUAGGAGAGGUUCCAAUAUAUAAUAAACUGUGAGGGCAUAAAUUGCAUAUUAUUAAACCUUUGAUGGUGGGCUGUUAGGAAUUCCCAGUGCAAUGUGCCAUGCCGCCUUUUACAUCAGCCCUAACAAUGACACUGCCAGACUCGUUGGCUCCAAGGGGUUAAUUAUACAUUAUGGAUGAAAACAAUGCAAGGAUGCUUGUUAAUACUCAAAUCAUUGCAUGGUAACCCUGGGUGACUCCCUUACUGCUCUGCCAAUUUGCAACAGUCACCUGGGGCAAGAUAGGAAAAGACUUGUCAUUCCUCACCCCUUCCACUCUCUUCCCCUCCUCUUUACUGGUUUUCCUUCCUAUUUUCAACAUCAAUUUGCUUGUCAAGGUAGCUGACAGGUGAAAUGCCUACCUGGUUAUUGAAAUUGUAAGGUCAAAAGAAAUGGAAUCCAUCUGUUAGGGAUGAUAAUUUACAGCUGAUGCUCAUCCAGAGCAAACAGAAAUGAGGGUCAGGUGAGGUAGGCAGGGGACUACUUAUGGGACUGAUAAAGCAGGACGUGAAAAAGAAGGUCAGGGAGAGUGUUUUGGUCCUUUUUCUAGCUAGUGGUGAUGAUCAUGAAACCUUGGCUCUUAGCCACAGAACUGUGUGAGAAAGCUAGAUGAUGUCCUCUGAGGCACUGAGAAGGGGUAGGCUGCUGUCCUUCUACUGCUAUCCUGACUCCAGGACCUUGAGUGCCUUUUAGCUGCCAGAAACCAGUGCUGCUAUCAGAAUGAUGAGCUGAGGUAAAGUGUCUCUCUAAAUGUUGGAAACCAAGUGGAGGUGUCAUGCCAUGAAGGGUUUUUGUUGAACUUUUGAGUUCUCUGUAUGUUUCAAAAGACUGUAAUGAACCACAUUAACUCUCCUGAACCUGGGCUGAAGCAAUCCUUUCAGCAGUUGCAGCCUGUGUGUCUUUGUUCUUCCAAAAACAGCUGCAGUGAAAUGGAACUCUAGAAACUCUACUCCCAGCUUCCUUUCCUGCUUUGGGUGAAACCUGUCCCCCUGUGUAGUUAUAAAGCUGUACUGAUUCUCUCUGUUUCUGCUGAUAAGUUUUGUUCCAAGGACACAGCCUGAAUGUAACUAAACUAUCUGAAUUAGCAAAGAUCUCUAAGCACUGUCUCCAAAAGUCUUAUUGCUGUGUAGGUCUGGGAUACUUUCAAGAUGAAACUGGAGUUGAGUAGUUGAGCUAGGACACAAGUAGAAAAUCUUGGUAACAAACUUCAUAGCCAAAGGUUUAAUUCUUCUGUCCCUUUUAAUGAUGUGAGAGUUGUCUGGGAAUAUCCUGUCCUGGGAAGCCCCUUGGCUGUUGGUGUGGGGGAAAGCACUUGCUUGGGCUGAUCUGAGCAGUCUCUCAACAUGAGUGAUUUUUUUUUUGGCUUGUGUAGUUUACAGAAUUGGUGUUACUGGUGUCUGUGUUGCUCAAGCAAGAGUGAAUUGAGCACCAGUGUGUGCAGAUCCCAAUGACUAGUUAUGGAGUAAUUAUUCUUCUUCUAGAAGUCAAGGAGCAUUGUUGGUAUGUCUGUGUCCCUCUUCCCAAGCAGCAACUAACCCCUGCCAAAAUCCUGACAAGGCAUGUCUUACAGUCCCUUCCCAGGCUAGAAUGAAUUCUUAAUGGCUUAAAGAGGGGAAAAACAGCUUGGGGGUAGGGGGAGAAGCCUAUAGUAAAUAAGACUUUGACCUUAUCUGAAGUAUUCCUGUGCACUGAAUCUAACCAAGGACUCUUGAAUAAAACAAACUUGAAGUUUCUAGGCCAAGUAGGUUUUGAGAUAUGACUCUACAAUAAAUUCUUUGAGGAAUAUUUCUAAGGCUGAAUUGCCCCUCAUUUUUCAAAGUCCCAUAUCUCACAAACACCUUGUCUGAUCUGCCACAAAUUUUGUCAAUAAAUUAUCCCAUACUACUGAUAGUGUAUGCAAAGUUUUGUGCAAGAAAAAAAAAGCUGCAAGAAUCUUAGGUUUUAUCUUAAACAUUUCCCUGUCCAGGAGACACCCUUUCCUCCCCUCAUGACUGGCUGAGCUUUUAGAGGGGCUACUAUAGGGAGAAAAUACCAUUUGUAAACUCCAAACUGGUUAAUGCUGGAAAGUCGUGGAGCUUCUGGUCUUGGUCAUCUUCCCAAAACCUGGGGCUUGCAGGAAUGGAAUGGUGGAAAGCUGUGGCCAGUUCUGAAUGAGGCUAUGUGGUUGCUCUGAAAGGCUUCAUCCAGCAGCUGAAGAGGUGAUUUGAGGCUAUGAUGCCUCCUGCCUAAUAGCUGCCUGUUCCACCUCUGUGGGAUGAGAUGCUCUCUCUGAGCCAGGAGGUGAGGAAGGGGCUGCCCUGGCAGUGUGGCACAGCCCCUGUCCUGUGGGAAGCAGGGCUGAGACAGACCUUGCACCCCUGCUCCAUGCCAGGGAGCUGAGCAUGGCCUUCCCUUGCAGGCAGUGAGACUGUCUGUGACCACUGUUGUAGCUCCCAUCACUCCCAGUUCUGCUUUCCCAAGCAUUAAAGUUUGAAAGGUUUGUACCACCCAUGUCAGAGCAGUAAAGGGAGAGAAGGAAGUGAUCUCAGCUUUUGGAGCAUGCUAUUUUCAGGUUCUUUAUUAGUGGGAACUUGGAUAAAGCAGGAAGUUAGAAGCUAAGUGUUUAUAAACUUCUCUAGUUCAUGGAUGAACUCCAGGUAAAAGCAGAGCAAAGGAAAAGGCAAGAGGAUCUGAGGCAGGAGUGACAAAUAAGGCUAGGACAGUGCCUUAGCAGGGGAUCGCUACUGCUUAGUGUCAUACUCCAUAGUUUUUAUUCAGAAUAAUUAAUCUCAAGGCAUUAUGUCUCUCUAGCAAAUGCAGUCUUGGAGGAUGGGCUUGAUAAAUCUGUGCUUCUGUUUCAGAGAUGUGGAUAAGCACUUUUUUUUUCUUUUCCCACAUUUGUACACUUGCAAAGAUAAGUCUCUUCUUUUCUACUAUCUGUGUUUGGAUCCACGAGGGAGUUAUUAACUGCACUGGCAGCACUCUCCUGCAACAAUGGGACAAUGACCCUGUCCUCCUAGUAAUUUGUUCUGUGACAUU